Molecule: long non-coding RNA, 303 nt
Filed under: Homo sapiens (human)
Lineage: Eukaryota; Metazoa; Chordata; Mammalia; Primates; Hominidae
Description: non-protein coding LINC00882:42
Source: RNAcentral
GAUAAAUAGUAAUUUGGAACCAAAACUCAGGACGUCCCAGGAGAGGCUAGAUUAGGAAUUCUUUGAUUUGGGAUCACGAAAAUGAAGUAUCCAUAUUUUAACAGAAUGAUUAGUGGCAGAGGAAUCAUCUAAGAAAACUGAGAAGACUCUGCCAGAGUGAUGGGAAGAAAACUAGAUGAGAAAGCACCAUUCUGGAAGACAUGCUCCCAUGAACCAUGGAGAGAAGAGGAGAGGGAAGAAGUUAUUUGUGAUGUCAUUUGCCUGUGUCAUGGCCUGCCUUCCCUAGAUAUUGUCCUAAUGUGA